UUCCUACGGGGGGCAGCAGUGGGGAAUCUUGGACAAUGGGCGCAAGCCUGAUCCAGCAAUGCCGCGUGGGUGAAGAAGGCCUUCGGGUUGUAAAGCCCUUUCGGCGGGGAAGAAAUCGGUCAGGCGAAUAGUCUGGCUGGAUGACGGUACCCGCAGAAGAAGCACCGGCUAACUACGUGCCAGCAGCCGCGGUAAUACGUAGGGUGCGAGCGUUAAUCGGAAUUACUGGGCGUAAAGGGUGCGCAGGCGGCCCUGUAAGACCGGUGUGAAAUCCCCGGGCUCAACCUGGGAAUUGCGCUGGUGACUGCAGGGCUAGAGUACGGUAGAGGGGGGUGGAAUUCCUGGUGUAGCAGUGAAAUGCGUAGAGAUCAGGAGGAACACCGAUGGCGAAGGCAGCCCCCUGGGCCUGUACUGACGCUCAUGCACGAAAGCGUGGGGAGCAAACAGGAUUAGAUACCCGAGUAGUC
Molecule: ribosomal RNA, 467 nt
Filed under: uncultured bacterium
Lineage: Bacteria
Description: bacterial SSU rRNA
Rfam family: Bacterial small subunit ribosomal RNA
Source: RNAcentral